AAUUUAUUUUAACAAUUGUUAAUCUAGGAUAAAUCCAACUUUUUAACGAAGUGAAUUGAAAUACCUUAUUAACUUCAGGAAAAGAAAUCAAAUGAGAUUAUUCUUCACCUAAAAAAUGAAAGAUAAAAGUCUUUAAAGUAAAAUGGAAAUAAUCUGUUUGAAUAUAGGGAAACCUUUCUCUAAGACUAAAUAAUGAUAUAGCAUACAUGAUAAGCAACAGAGCAUUAGUACCGUAAGGGAAGUAUUUGAAAUAGUAGCUUUAUAAGCAGCUCAAAUUUAAAUUAAAAAAUGAACGAGAGCGUACCUUUUGCAUAAUGGGUCAGCAAGUUAAUAUUAGAUGCGAGAUUACUUUUUUCUUUUUAAGAAAAAUCUUAUCCCAGAUAAACCAAUUAUUAAAUAAUGAAUAAGUAUCUAGUAUUAGACCCGAAGCCUAGUGAUCUUACCAUGAUCAGGGUUAUAAAAGCUCGAACAGGUUAUCGUUGUAAAGAUAUCUGAUGAAUUGUGGUAAGUUAGUGAAAGACAAAACUGACUAGGAUAGCUGGUUUUCCGCGAAACCUAUAUAAGUAGGUAGUUUAAAAGUUAUCAUUUUUUUUUUAAUUACUAAAAUAAGUAAGGUUUAUAGUUCGCAAAAAAAAAUUACAAGUAAUAGAACAAGAACCAGAAAUAGACCGAGAAAAAUCUAUUUUUAGGCUUCAUAAAAAAAAAUUAAAAGUAAUAGAACAAGAACCAGAAAUAGACCGAGAAAAAUCUAUUUUUAGGCUUCAUAAAAAAAAAUUAAAAGUAAUAGAACAAGAACCAGAAAUAGACCGAGAAAAAUCUAUUUUUAGGCUUCAUAAAAAAAAUUAAAAGUAAUAGAACAAGAACCAGAAAUAAACCGAGAAAAAUCUAUUUUUAGGCUUCAUCACCUCUAUACUUUUAUAUUUUUGUAACUUAUGCCUUACCCUUCGAAGUUUAUAAAUAAAAAAUGAUAAUUACAUCGUUGCAGGUACAGAAUUGUGAUCUCAGACAAAUGUUGAUUAAAAGCAUUGUUUAAUAAACAUGCAAAAUCUGUUUGUAUACAUUGGGGGAUCGUGAAGAUUUUAUCAGUGAGGAUUUGCUCUCGGAAGGGCAACGAUGAAUAUUAAACUGUCGGACAUAGUACGAUAAGGUUGUAUGUCUAAAGGGAAACAGCCCAGAACAAGUGUUAAAGGUUCCAAAGUUAUUGUUAAGUGAAAUUAAGGUAGUUUUUUUCAAAAACAACUAGUAAAUAGGCUUAGAAGCGGCCAUUUUUUUAAGAUCUCGUAACAGAGCACUGGUUUAUUUAAGUUAAACGCACCGAAAAUAUAACGGAUCUAAAACAGUAUACCGAAACCUUGUACGUAAUUAAAACUAAGAUAAUGAGUUAUUUUAUUGCAAAAUAAAGUUAUGUAAAUAUAAAUAUAUAUUUAGAUAUAUAUAUUGUUAUUGUUAAAAUCAUUAAUAGUUAUAUUUAUGGGGUAGCGGAACGUUGGGUUAAUUCUUAGAAUUUAUAUCCUUGAUAUAAAUUAUCUUUAUGGUGAAUAAUAAAUAAUGGUAAAAUCGUUAAAAACAGACUAUCCCAAGUGAUAAUGCUGACAUGAGUAACGAAAAAGGGUAACCCCCUCGCCUUAAGCUUAUGGUAUGAGCGAUUUAAGUAACGGCCCCUAAGUUUAUAAACCUUUCCUAAAGGAUUAAAUGAUGGGUGAAUCUCGCGCAUAUUUAACAUUUAUAAGUAUUUAAUAGAAAACUCAUAAGUGUUAGUUAAUUUAUAAGUUUUGUAUUAAAGAAAAGUGAUAAAUGUUCUGGAAAAAUAUAUGCCGGUAUUUUUAUAUAUCGUAUUGACCGUACCUAGACACUACCACAAGUAAGCAAGUAGAGAAUACAAAGGCGUUUGAGAUAACAAUCAUUAAGGAACUCGGCAAAUUGACUCCGUAACUUCGGGAUAAGGUGUGCCAUUAUUAUUAAGUAAUAAGAGGAGACAUAAAAUGGUGUUGUACGACUGUUUAAUUAAAACAAAGCACUUUGCAUAAGAUAAUAAAUCAAAGUAUUGAGUGUGAUUUCUGCCCAAUGUUGGCUGGUUAACGAAUUUUCUUAGUCAAAUAACACUAGGCUAGGUUUUGAAGGAACCCCCAAUCAAUGGCGGCCUUACCGAUGAGGGUCCUAAGGUAGCGGAAUACCCUGGCCGUUAAAUGCGGUCUUGCAUGAAUGAUUUAACGAUACAACAGCUGUCUCAAUGAUUGUCUCAGUGAAAUUGGAAUAACUGUGCAGAUACAGUUUUCUUCUAGUUAGACGAGAAGACCCUAUGCAGCUUUACUGUUGCUAGUAAUUGAAUAUAAUAAAACAAGUUUUAGUAUAUAAGGUUAUUGAUAGGAUGAUAGUGAAAUACCUUUACUUAGUUUAUUAUAUUAUUGGACUAGUUGAUUUUAGGUUCUUAGUACAUAACUAUUGUUUACUACUGAAAGGGAGUAAACAGCUUUUUAUUUAGGACUGCUUUGGUAUGGACAAUGUUCAGCUUAACAUAAAGAGUUAAGGACUGCUUUGGGACGGACAGUGUACAGCUUAAGAGUUAUAGAAAAUAGCUUACAUCUUAAUUUAGUAUCCAUAUGCUUAUCUGAAAGGUUAAUAAUAAAGGUUUAUGUAAAAAAUAUCACUUUUAUAAAUGAGACAUUUGCUAGUGGACAGUUUAUGCGGGGCACAGAUCCCAUAAAAAGUACCUGGGUGUAUCCAAAGUUAAAAUUGUAAAUUCAUUAAAAAUUUUUAAUGAUUUUGUCUUGUUUUUAUUGUGUUUAUAACCAUUAAAUAUAAGACACUAUUUUUACUUUGUAAUAGAUUAUUUUAUGAUUUAUUCACUUAUAUUUCUAUUAAGUUAGAUUAAUUAUAUUUUUUUAAGUAAGGGUUUAACUAUAUGGAAAAUAGAUGUUUAACUUGUCUUUAGCAUCAUUCAAACAUUAAUAAGAUGAUUUUUAAUAUUUACUGUUAAAGUUUAAUGGCUUAACCUUGCUUUACUGUUUGACUUACAUGUCUAUCAGUCGCGUAAGCGGGGCAUACGAUCACAAGAUGCAGAAAGGAAAGGUCUUGGAUUUUUGAAAAAAGCUACGCUAGGGAUAACAGGCUAAUUGCGCCAGAGAGUACAAAUUGAGUGCGCAGUUUGGCACCUCGAUGUCGGCUUAGCUCAUCCACAUGAAUGCAGGAAUCAUGAAGGGUACGACUGUUCGUCGGUUAAAGAGCUACACGAGCUGGGUUAAAUACGUCGUGAGACAGUAUGGUUUCUAUCUUCUAGAAGUAAUUAGAGUAAAACAAGGAUAGCCCCUUCGUACGAAAGGAGUUGGGUAUGGUAACCUCUGGUUUAUUUGUUGUUUAGGUAAUUAAGGCCUGAUAAUAGAAUUCCGGGGAUGUGCUCGUUGAAGGCCUCUAAGAGUACCGCAGGUUCCCAUCAUAUAUUCGCUAUUUAUAAUAUGGAAAGUAGGCACAGCAAUAAAGCUACGUUAGUCAUAAAUAAGUGCUGAAUGCAUAUAGGCACGAAGUUUGUCUUGAGAUACUCUUAAAUAUACGUAAUACAAAAUUACGAAUCGUAAACUUACGAUUGUAUAGGUUUUGGUUUAAAGGAUUUUAAUUUCUUCAGAUAUAAAAUACUAAUUUUAUUUUAUACUAGAUUUU
Non-coding RNA from Pseudocercospora musae, 3654 nucleotides. NCBI's taxonomy places the organism in Eukaryota, Fungi, Ascomycota, Dothideomycetes, Mycosphaerellales, Mycosphaerellaceae. The record is from Rfam.